RNAcentral lists this ribosomal RNA (468 nucleotides) under uncultured bacterium. RNAcentral describes it as "partial 16S ribosomal RNA". It matches the Rfam family "Bacterial small subunit ribosomal RNA", at positions 28 to 507 of the family's 1533-position model. The record is from RNAcentral.
GACGAACGCUGGCGGCGUGCUUAACACAUGCAAGUCGAACGGAAAGGCCCUGCUUUUGUGGGGUGCUCGAGUGGCGAACGGGUGAGUAACACGUGAGUAACCUGCCCUUGACUUUGGGAUAACUUCAGGAAACUGGGGCUAAUACCGGAUAGGAGCUCCUGCUGCAUGGGGGGGGUGGGAAAGUUUAGGCGGUUGGGGAUGGACUCGCGGCUUAUGCGCUUGUUGGUGGGGUAGUGGCUUACCACGGCUUUGACGGGUAGCCGGCCUGAGGGGGGAACCGGCCACUGUUGGCCCGGAAUCAGGCCCAGACUCCUACGGGAGGGCACCGGUGAGUAUAUUGCGGUGUUGGCUGAAUGCUUGUGCAGCAACGCCGCGUGCGGGGUGUCUGGCUGCGGGUUGUAUACCUAUUUCGCCUGUGACGGAGCGUGAGUGACGGUACUGUGUAAAGAAGCACCGGCUAACUACGUG